GUGGCCUGUGCUUUCGUCACUCGCCCUCGGAAAGGGAGAGAGCCGAGCUUUCGCCCUGCCGAGUUCUCACGCAGGAGGUACUUUGUAGGACUUCGCAGCGGAAGCUUCUUGGACACAGGAAGAAGACAACCUUCUAUGAACAUGGAAGAGAGCCCUCACCAAGAACCAAACCUGCUGGUGCCUUGAUCUUGGACUUCCAGCCUCCAGAACUGAAAAGGCGCCAUUAACCCUUGACGUCCAAGAAAAUACACCAAUGCAUCUAUUUCCCUGUUCCAGCCCCACUACAGUGAAUUUCAGCAACUUACAUCUUCAAAGCAUAUGCCACUAUACCCAAAUGUAGAUUAAUAAAAUGUGGCACAUACAUAGGAUGGAAGAUUAUUUCACCUUAAAAUGAAUGAAAGUCUGGUAUACA
Long non-coding RNA from Budorcas taxicolor (takin), 412 nucleotides. RefSeq lists it as uncharacterized. The record is from RefSeq and is a predicted model, not a curated record. The transcript has 3 exons. Lineage: Eukaryota; Metazoa; Chordata; Mammalia; Artiodactyla; Bovidae.